GGGAAGCGGACCUCAUAAAGUAUGUCGUAGUCCGGAUUGGAGUCUGCAACUCGACUCCAUGAAGUCGGAAUCGCUAGUAAUCGUAGAUCAGAAUGCUACGGUGAAUACGUUCCCGGGCCUUGUACACACCGCCCGUCACACCAUGGGAGUGGGUUGCAAAAGAAGUAGGUAGCUUAACCUUCGGGAGGGCGCUUACCACUUUGUGAUUCAUGACUGGG
RNAcentral lists this ribosomal RNA (218 nucleotides) under Klebsiella pneumoniae. RNAcentral's name for it is "partial 16S ribosomal RNA". It matches the Rfam family "Bacterial small subunit ribosomal RNA", at positions 1262 to 1479 of the family's 1533-position model. The record is from RNAcentral. Lineage: Bacteria; Pseudomonadati; Pseudomonadota; Gammaproteobacteria; Enterobacterales; Enterobacteriaceae.